GGGGUUGUGGCUCAGUGGUAGAGCACAUGCCAAGCAUAUAUGAGGCAGUGGGUUUGAUCCUCAGCACCA
RNAcentral lists this transfer RNA (69 nucleotides) under Marmota monax (woodchuck). RNAcentral's name for it is "tRNA.Ala". Lineage: Eukaryota; Metazoa; Chordata; Mammalia; Rodentia; Sciuridae. The record is from RNAcentral.